UACGUAGGUGGCAAGCGUUGUCCGGAAUUAUUGGGCGUAAAGCGCGCGCAGGUGGUUUCUUAAGUCUGAUGUGAAAGCCCACGGCUCAACCGUGGAGGGUCAUUGGAAACUGGGGAACUUGAGUGCAGAAGAGGGAAGUGGAAUUCCGGGUGUAGUGGUGAAAUGCGUAGAUAUCCGGAGGAACACCAGUGGCGAAGGCGACUUUCUGGCCUGUUCUUGACGCUGAGGCGCGAAAGCUAGGGGAGCAAACGGG
Molecule: ribosomal RNA, 253 nt
Filed under: uncultured bacterium
Lineage: Bacteria
Description: partial 16S ribosomal RNA
Rfam family: Bacterial small subunit ribosomal RNA
Source: RNAcentral